CUCAGGAUGAACGCUGGCGGUGUGCCUAAUACAUGCAAGUCGAACGGAGUUGAUGGGAGCUUGCUCCUUGAUACUAGUGGCGAACGGGUGAGUAACACGUAGGUAACCUGCCCUUAGCUGGGAUACCCAGAGGAAACUUUGGCUAAUACCGGAUAACAACAACCGAGGCAUCUCGGAUGCUUGAAAGGCCCUUUUUGGGUCACUAAAGGAUGGACCUGCGGCGCAUUAGCUAGUUGGUGAGAUAAUAGCCCACCAAGGCGAGGAUGCGUAGCCGAACUGAGAGGCUGAUCGGCCACAUGGAAACUGAGACACGGUUCCAACUCCUACGGGAGGCAGCAGUAAGGAGUUUUCGGCAAUGGGGGAAACCCUGACCGAGCAACACCGCGUGAGUGAUGACGGCCCUAUGGGUUGUAAAGCUCUGUUGUAGGGGAAGAAAUGUGAGGGUAGUGGAAUGACCUUCACUUGACGGUACCCUACCAGAAAGCCACGGCUAACUACGUGCCAGCAGCAGC
RNAcentral lists this ribosomal RNA (512 nucleotides) under uncultured bacterium. Its description in RNAcentral is "bacterial SSU rRNA". It matches the Rfam family "Bacterial small subunit ribosomal RNA", at positions 23 to 518 of the family's 1533-position model. The record is from RNAcentral.